This 254-nucleotide ribosomal RNA is filed under the name uncultured bacterium. Its description in RNAcentral is "partial 16S ribosomal RNA". It matches the Rfam family "Bacterial small subunit ribosomal RNA", at positions 524 to 776 of the family's 1533-position model. The record is from RNAcentral.
UACGUAGGGCGCAAGCGUUGUCCGGAAUUAUUGGGCGUAAAGAGCUCGUAGGCGGUUUGUUGCGUCGACUGUGAAAACCCGCGGCUCAACCGUGUGGCUUGCAGUCGAUACGGGCAGGCUAGAGUUCGGUAGGGGAGACUGGAAUUCCUGGUGUAGCGGUGAAAUGCGCAGAUAUCAGGAGGAACACCGGUGGCGAAGGCGGGUCUCUGGGCCGAUACUGACGCUGAGGAGCGAAAGCGUGGGGAGCGAACAGG